This 292-nucleotide ribosomal RNA is filed under the name uncultured soil bacterium. RNAcentral describes it as "partial 16S ribosomal RNA". It matches the Rfam family "Bacterial small subunit ribosomal RNA", at positions 26 to 347 of the family's 1533-position model. The record is from RNAcentral.
AGAACGAACGCUGGCGGCAUGCCUAAUACAUGCAAGUCGAACGAAGGCUUCGGCCUUAGUGGCGCACGGGUGCGUAACGCGUGGGAAUCUGCCCCUUGGUUCGGAAUAACAGUUGGAAACGACUGCUAAUACCGGAUGAUGACGAAAGUCCAAAGAUUUAUCGCCAAGGGAUGAGCCCGCGUAGGAUUAGCUAGUUGGUGAGGUAAAGGCUCACCAAGGCGACGAUCCUUAGCUGGUCUGAGAGGAUGAUCAGCCACACUGGACUGAGACACGGCCCAGACUCCUACGGGAG